RNAcentral lists this ribosomal RNA (301 nucleotides) under uncultured bacterium. RNAcentral describes it as "partial 16S ribosomal RNA". It matches the Rfam family "Bacterial small subunit ribosomal RNA", at positions 509 to 809 of the family's 1533-position model. The record is from RNAcentral.
CAGUCGCCGCGGUAAUACGUAGGGUGCAAGCGUUAAUCGGAAUUACUGGGCGUAAAGCGUGCGCAGGCGGUUAUAUAAGACAGAUGUGAAAUCCCCGGGCUCAACCUGGGAACUGCAUUUGUGACUGUAUAGCUAGAGUACGGCAGAGGGGGAUGGAAUUCCGCGUGUAGCAGUGAAAUGCGUAGAUAUGCGGAGGAACACCGAUGGCGAAGGCAAUCCCCUGGGCCUGUACUGACGCUCAUGCACGAAAGCGUGGGGAGCAAACAGGAUUAGAUACCCCUGUAGUCCCUGUCUCUUUAUA